CGGGGUUGGCUCUAACGAAUUUGAAUGAGGAGCCUCAGCGCUUUCGGCGCCAUUUUCGAGUGAUGCCUGAUCUCAUCAAUCUAGCGGGUGAGGCGGGAUAACCUGUCCGAGAGUAUAUCGCCACUAGAACUCCACAGAAAAAUCACUAAAAAAAUCGCCAAAAAUUACUUCGAGCAAAGGGCAGUCAGCGGAGUUUCGCCAGGGUUGGCGCAGUCGGUUUUAACCUUUAGGACAGAGCCAGUUCUGGAGAACUUAACUUCUUUGAUUGAACACUCACAUAAUGCGUUGGAACAUGAUAGGAGAUUAAGGUUUAAUAAUGAUGAAAUGAAGACCAUAAUAUAACAGCCCCCUACUAAAUUUCAACAGUUCUUACCUUUCCUCCCUACUUAAUGAAGAUGUCUUUUGAAAGAUGUGUUUCAAGGAAUGAAGUGCCGUUUGUAAUUUAUGCUUUUGCCAAGGGUGCCCUAAUAGAAGAAAACGAGUAUUCAGAUUGCCAAGCCCUUCAAGAGCCAAGGUGUGAUGAUCUGAAGAAAAAAAAUACAACUUGCAUGUAUUUUGACACCACCAGUACCCGCCACCCCACCCCUAAAAAAGAUGAGAACUGACUAUAUCAUGGGUACCUAGACCACAUGGAGAAAGGACUGAGACCAGAAGCUGCAAGCAGACAUUGUACGGCGCAGAGCACCUGACAACAGCCCAAUCUACGUAAGGGCAAUAAAUGCCACAUGAGAUGAUCCCCUCAACACAAAACUUUACAUCUGACUCACAUGCCUGGCCUACUGACUUCUACUGUCUUUUCAUGACUCCUAUAUUAUGGAGGUAAGUCAAGAUUUAAUAUUGAUUAUAGUCAUGUAACAGUCAUUCUGAACUUGUAUUCCCUUAAAGUUCCUUUAAUUACUAAGCACUCUUGUAGCAUUGCAUUUUUAUUAACAAAUUAUGUAUAUUCCAAUUUUUGCUGGGCUAUUUUACUGAUUAAAUGUAUAAUUUUGUGUAACUUUCAACUAGUUUUUCUACAUAUAUCUAUAUUUUCAUCUCAUUUUUUAAUCACCAAAGUAAAUGUCUAGUAGAAAAAUACUAUGAUUUUUUUUCUGUUGUCUUUAAUCAGCUUUCAGACUCUGAAGUAUCCUUAUCCAUCUUUGAAUCUAUUGUAAUUCUUGUUUUCUAAGUGCCUGUUCACUGAGACUAUAGCAUUUGAAAUUUUUCAGUGCAGUUCAGUUCAGACUAUUAGAUGUCCAGCACUACAGGGGAUUGUAAAGAACAGUAUAAAGCACAGUCCCAGCCCUCAUAAGAACUCAUGGAACCUCAGAUAUUGAAGCCAGACUUUCUUGGGGACUUGAGAACCCAAAGAAAUUCAAAUUCUUACCAGAAUAUGAAAUGAUAGAGAGUAACAUGAAAUAGAAACACUUGGUAUUUUGUAUUUUACUCAACUGAUAGAGUAAAAAGGCACUUUAAAACAAUAAUUUCUAGAUUUGAGGUGUUGGUGCGAAAUCUGAAGGUGCAGAAUGCUGCCUACCUAAAAGCUCUAUAGUUAGAUGAAUCCUAGGUACAUUUUGGUUUUGGAACAAAGUCCUACUUACUUUUGCUGCAGGUUGUUGCUUUUUCAUUGUGCCAUGCUUAAUAUUCAUUUCCCAUUCACCAUGUAAGGUGUUAGUUUUUAUCCAUUUAAAGACUUUUAUGGUUAGAUCUAAUCAUUUAGGUAAAUAUUAAGGUACUUUGUAAGCUUAAUAAUUAGUUAUGAGGUGAUGAGUUUUCUUGGUGAAAUUUGUACAUAACUUUUCAUCUCUAGUAGGUCUAAUAGAAUGCCUAAUAAUUCUUGAGGUGUAGUUCUCUGGCAAAUUCUCUGAUGGAUAAUUAUGUUUUUUAAAACACUAAGUUUGAUGGCACAUUGUUCUCUUCCAUGGGUUCUUUGGCUCCAGGAAGGUAAUAAAAUUUCCUAAAUUAAAAAAAAUUUCCUCUUAUUAGUGGUUUCUACAUUGUUAAACUUGAUGUAACAGAAUCAACUUCUCCAGCAAAGAGGAAAAAUAACAGAAUACAGAAUAUUUACAGAGCUCUUAGCAAGUCUUUAUUAUCUCAGCAAGGUCUCUGGUGAUAUGAACAUUUCUAUUAUUUAUGAUAGAGAACAAUACAAAAACUUAUAAAGCAAAGCUGAAGUUUGUCAGAUGUAAACAGUAUAUAAGACAAAUUAGAAACAACUAUGAUUCCCUAAACCAUAUAUUUCUCAAACUGCUUUCCCUUGACUGUUUUAUAUUACUUAGGGCUCCCGAUUUCAGAUAUAUUUUGAAAGCAGCCUAAAUUAAUUCCGACUUUACCAAUACCUAAGAACUCUUUCUAAUUAUGACUUGUAUAUUAAAUCCAAGAGUAUUCAACAUUAGAGCUCCUUUUCAGAAAAUCUUUGUAGGGAGAACUUUCAGUUGUUUAAAAAAUAAAUUAUUGAGGUUUAAGAAUAAGCUAAAAUCUUCAGUGCCUUAUCAGAAGUGAAACUGUGGGUGAUGGAAAGAAGCUGAAACAAACAUUAGAGAAGUGCAAGAAUAGGGGAGGCCCAACUAUUGAUGGUACCAUUUAGACUGACAGAACCUUACCGUGUCAUUGUGAUGAUUCAUGCUUGUGUAUAUGAGGUAUAUGUUAUUUGAUGAACAAAGUUUUCAGCAUGGUUGGCCAAGAUAAAUUUCUGCCAUUAUUUUCUUACAAUUGCAAAUUAAAUUGACAAAUCAGUUCAUUGAAUUAAGUGGUGUCUAUAUGAAAAUGUUAGUCUUUUUUUUCUAAAGCAGACCAGAGUUUUUAAUUUGCCUGUGGUGCAUCUAACAUAUGUUUUCUUCAAACUACAUUUGCCUGCCUCCCUUUUUAAACAAGACUCAGUUUUUUGCAUGUCUUCACAUCCCAGUUACAAUGUCCCACUUAUUUUGGAGUGAACACCAGAGGAUUACUGAGACAAUCUUGACAGAUGUGUCUCCAGAUAAGAUAAUCUCUAAAAUAUUUACUAAAAUAAGCAACCUAAUCACUUUGAAAGUACACUUCCCCUAUUAUGAAUAUUUUUAAUUGUGGCAAUCUGUCUCCUUCUAAAAACCUCUGCAUUGUGAAAUCAUGGCUUUUGAGACACUAUUUAAUAAAAGGCUUAAGUUAUUUUAAUUUAAAACCAUUGUCAAUGGUUAUGAAUUGUAUUUGUAGUAAGCUCUAAGUGGGAAGGCAUUGUUUUGUUCCCUUGCAAUAUCUCCAAUGUCUAGAGUUGUAUUUGGCACACAGCAGAUGUCAAUAAAUAUUUAUUGAAUGAAUGAA
Molecule: long non-coding RNA, 3273 nt
Organism: Pteropus alecto (black flying fox)
Lineage: Eukaryota; Metazoa; Chordata; Mammalia; Chiroptera; Pteropodidae
Exons: 7
Source: RefSeq, a predicted model, not a curated record